AAACUAAAUUUUAAAAAUGUAUCUUAUUUGUUGAAACAUAUGAUCAUAGCUUUUUUUUCUUCCCACCAAUAAUCCUAUAUUUUUAUCGUCAAUUCAUCAAGUUAUUAUUUUAUAAAAAGUAUUCAAUUAAUUUAGAUCAAUCAAAUAAUAUUAAAAUAUCUGAAGCACUUGAAAAUCUAGACAUGAUUAUAGACAGAAAGGAACAAAGAAAACAAGACUUUUAAUUAUAAAAAGAAUGUAAUUAUUUAUGUAUUAGCAUUAUAGUUGUUAAUAAAUUAUUUUUUAUUGAAUAAAAUUAUAAUUAAAUUU
Gordionus sp. m RMFG-2023 is the source of this 309-nucleotide long non-coding RNA. RefSeq lists it as uncharacterized. The record is from RefSeq and is a predicted model, not a curated record. Lineage: Eukaryota; Metazoa; Nematomorpha; Gordioida; Chordodea; Parachordodidae. The transcript has 2 exons.